This 497-nucleotide ribosomal RNA is filed under the name uncultured bacterium. RNAcentral describes it as "partial 16S ribosomal RNA". It matches the Rfam family "Bacterial small subunit ribosomal RNA", at positions 28 to 507 of the family's 1533-position model. The record is from RNAcentral.
GAUGAACGCUGGCGGCGUGCCUAAUACAUGCAAGUCGAGCGAACGGACGAGAAGCUUGCUUCUCUGAUGUUAGCGGCGGACGGGUGAGUAACACGUGGAUAACCUACCUAUAAGACUGGGAUAACUUCGGGAAACCGGAGCUAAUACCGGAUAAUAUUUUGAACCGCAUGGUUCAAAAGUGAAAGACGGUCUUGCUGUCACUUAUAGAUGGAUCCGCGCUGCAUUAGCUAGUUGGUAAGGUAACGGCUUACCAAGGCAACGAUGCAUAGCCGACCUGAGAGGGUGAUCGGCCACACUGGAACUGAGACACGGUCCACACUCCUACGGGAGGCAGCAGUAGGGAAUCUGCCGGAAUGGGCGAAAGCCUGACGUAGCAACGCCGCGUGAGUGAUGAAGGUCUUCGGAUCGUAAAACUCUGUUAUUAGGGAAGAACAUAUGUGUAAGUAACUGUGCACAUCUUGACGGUACCUAAUCAGAAAGCCACGGCUAACUACGUG